Pelobates cultripes (western spadefoot toad) is the source of this 201-nucleotide non-coding RNA. The record is from the annotation of a GenBank genome assembly. Lineage: Eukaryota; Metazoa; Chordata; Amphibia; Anura; Pelobatidae.
GUGGAAGGCGUUCGACUGUUUGGCUGAUCGGGAGUUGCCGUGUUCGCGGACUUCGUUCGGGAGUUUGGCGAUCGGCUGGAUUUAAACUGCAUUUCUGGGGAAGGGGAUUAUUGCCUAAACGGCGGCUUCAUCUACCCGACGGUACGUGUCGUAACAAUUGGUGGCAAGCGACAGGAUGAAUCCUACAGCCCAGAAGGCCAG